RNAcentral lists this ribosomal RNA (755 nucleotides) under Piptocephalis sp. S98081001-1. RNAcentral's name for it is "eukaryotic LSU rRNA". It matches the Rfam family "Eukaryotic large subunit ribosomal RNA", at positions 56 to 628 of the family's 3401-position model. Lineage: Eukaryota; Fungi; Zoopagomycota; Zoopagomycetes; Zoopagales; Piptocephalidaceae. The record is from RNAcentral.
GAAAAGAAACCAACAGGGAUUCCCCUAGUAACGGCGAGUGAAGCGGGAAGAGCUCAAAUUUAAAAUCGUGUCAGGGUGACCUGGUCACGAAUUGUAGUUUGAUGAGGUAUGCUUGGUGGGCGCCUGGGUCAAAAUCCUUUGGAAAAGGGUAUCAUAGAGGGUGACAAUCCCGUCUGUGAUCCAGACAGCGGUCUAUCGUGUAAGCUACCUUCAAAGAGUCGGGUUGUUUGGGAAUGCAGCCCUAAGCUGGUGGUAAAUUCCAUCUAAAGCUAAAUAUUCGUGAGAGACCGAUAGCGAACAAGUACCGUGAGGGAAAGUUGAAAAGCACUCUGGAGAGAGAGUCAAACAGCACGUGAAAUUGUUAACAGGGAAACGUUGGGCACCAGUACGCGCCUCGCGUAAAAUCAACCAUCUUUUCCCCAAUGAUAUACGUCGGAUGGAUGAGCCUUAACCAGCCAUUGUUCGUUCGUUAUCUAAGGGAGGUGGUGCACUUUUGCGUGGGCGGGUCAACAUCAGUUAGGACUGCUGGAAAAUCCUCAAGGGAAGGUAGGUACAGGAUUCGUCCAGUACAACUUAUAGCCCUUGUUGAACGCGGCGAUUCUGACUGUGGAGUCGCGACUCGUGCUUCCCUCGGGAGGCUGGCCCCCAGGGCCCUCUGCGUCCGCUAGUGCUAGACAGCUUGCUGACUAGUAUUGGUCUGGAGGUGGAUGUGGUCAGGGUAGGGUUCUAACGAGUCUCCGGACCGUGGGGAAAAG